This 460-nucleotide ribosomal RNA is filed under the name uncultured bacterium. Its description in RNAcentral is "partial 16S ribosomal RNA". It matches the Rfam family "Bacterial small subunit ribosomal RNA", at positions 338 to 795 of the family's 1533-position model. The record is from RNAcentral.
CCUACGGGAGGCUGCAGUGAGGAAUAUUGGUCAAUGGACGCAAGCCUGAACCAGCCAAGUAGCGUGCAGGAUGACUGCCCUACGGGUUGUAAACUUCUUUUAUCAAGGAAUAAAGUGAGGCACGUGUGCCUUUUUUUAUGUGUUUUAUGAGUAAGAGUCUGCUAACUCCGUGCCCGCAGCCGCGGUAAUACGGAGGAUCCGCGAGUUAUCCGGGUUUUUUGGGUUUAAAGGGAGCGUAGAUGGGUUGUUAAGUCAGUUGUGAAAGUUUGCGGCUCAACCGUAAAAUUGCAAUUGAUACUGGCAGUCUUGAGUACAGUUGAGGUAGGCGGAAUUCGUGGUGUAGCGGUGAAAUGCUUAGAUAUCACGAAGAACUCCGAUUGCGAAGGCAGCUUACUAAACUGCCACUGACAUUGAGGCUCGAAAGUGUGGGUAUCAAACAGGAUUAGAUACCCUGGUAGUC